This 478-nucleotide ribosomal RNA is filed under the name uncultured bacterium. RNAcentral describes it as "partial 16S ribosomal RNA". It matches the Rfam family "Bacterial small subunit ribosomal RNA", at positions 28 to 523 of the family's 1533-position model. The record is from RNAcentral.
GACGAACGCUGGCGGCGUGCUUAACACAUGCAGGUCGAACGGUAAGGCCCUUCGGGGUACACGAGUGGCGAACGGGUGAGUAACACGUGGGUGAUCUGCCCUGCACUUCGGGAUAAGCCUGGGAAACUGGGUCUAAUACCGGAUAGGACCACUGCCUGCAUGGGUGGUGGUGGAAAGCUUUUGCGGUGUGGGAUGGGCCCGCGGCCUAUCAGCUUGUUGGUGGGGUGGUGGCCUACCAAGGCGACGACGGGUAGCCGGCCUGAGAGGGUGACCGGCCACACUGGGACUGAGCUACGGCCCAGAAUCCUACGGGAGGCAGCAGUGGGGAAUAUUGCACAAUGGGCGCAAGCCUGAUGCAGCGACGCCGCGUGAGGGAUGACGGCCUUCGGGUUGUAAACCUCUUUCAGCACCGACGAAGCGCAAGUGACGGUAGGUGCAGAAGAAGGACCGGCCAACUACGUGCCAGCCGCCGCAGUAA